RNAcentral lists this small RNA (81 nucleotides) under Marmota monax (woodchuck). The record is from RNAcentral. Lineage: Eukaryota; Metazoa; Chordata; Mammalia; Rodentia; Sciuridae.
GCUGGGCAUGGUGGCCCAUGCCUGUAAUCCCAGUGGCUCAGGAGGCUGUGGCAGGAGGAUUGCGAGUUCAAAGCCAGCCUU